CUACGGAGGAUCCGAGCGUUAUCCGGAUUUAUUGGGUUUAAAGGGUGCGUAGGCGGCCUUUUAAGUCAGCGGUGAAAGUCUGUGGCUCAACCAUAGAAUUGCCGUUGAAACUGGGAGGCUUGAGUAUGUUUGAGGCAGGCGGAAUUCGUGGGGGAGCGGUGAAAUGCUUAGAUAUCACGCAGAACCCCGAUUGAGAAGGCCGCCUGCCAAGCCAUGACUGACGCUGAUGCACGAAAGCGUGGGGAUCAAACAGGAUUAGAUACCCUGGUAGUCCACGCAGUAAACGAUGAUCACUAGCUGUUUGCGAUACACUGUAAGCGGCACAGCGAAAGCGUUAAGUGAUCCACCUGGGGAGUACGCCGGCAACGGUGAAACUCAAAUGAAUUGACGGGG
Molecule: ribosomal RNA, 393 nt
Filed under: uncultured bacterium
Lineage: Bacteria
Description: partial 16S ribosomal RNA
Rfam family: Bacterial small subunit ribosomal RNA
Source: RNAcentral